UGGGGAAUCUUGCGCAAUGGGCGAAAGCCUGACGCAGCCAUGUCGCGUGAAUGAUGAAGGUCUUAGGAUUGUAAAAUUCUUUCACCGGGGACGAUAAUGACGGUACCCGGAGAAGAAGCCCCGGCUAACUUCGUGCCAGCAGCCGCGGUAAUACGAAGGGGGCUAGCGUUGCUCGGAAUUACUGGGCGUAAAGGGAGCGUAGGCGGACUGUUAAGUUAGAGGUGAAAGCCCAGGGCUCAACCUUGGAAUUGCCUUUGAUACUGGCAGUCUUGAGUACGGAAGAGGUAUGUGGAACUCCGAGUGUAGAGGUGAAAUUCGUAGAUAUUCGGAAGAACACCAGUGGCGAAGGCGACAUACUGGUCCGUUACUGACGCUGAGGCUCGAAAGCGUGGGGAGCAAACAGG
This 404-nucleotide ribosomal RNA is filed under the name Bacillota bacterium. RNAcentral's name for it is "Firmicutes bacterium partial 16S ribosomal RNA". It matches the Rfam family "Bacterial small subunit ribosomal RNA", at positions 355 to 776 of the family's 1533-position model. The record is from RNAcentral. Lineage: Bacteria; Bacillati; Bacillota.